CUAGAUGGCACUGCCUUAGUGACUUUGGGUGAUCUUAAAAAGCUAAGCAGGGCCAGAUUUGAUUAGUACUUGGGUGGGAGACCACAGGAAAUCCUGUGGCCUUAAGC
RNAcentral lists this ribosomal RNA (107 nucleotides) under Notechis scutatus (mainland tiger snake). Lineage: Eukaryota; Metazoa; Chordata; Lepidosauria; Squamata; Elapidae. The record is from RNAcentral.